Molecule: long non-coding RNA, 754 nt
Organism: Arachis ipaensis
Lineage: Eukaryota; Viridiplantae; Streptophyta; Magnoliopsida; Fabales; Fabaceae
Source: RefSeq, a predicted model, not a curated record
UUCAAACUGUGUUUCAAGCUCCAUUCAGAGUUACUUUUCUCCCUGGCACGAGAUCAAACACGAGGGUUCUUCCUCUCUCCCUGGCACAAGGAUUCAGAGUUACUUUUCGAGCUCCAUUCAGAGAUCAAACACGAGCUUCUUCCUCUCUCCAUGGCACGAGUUACGUUUUUCUCCGUGGCUGCUACUUCUGCUUCUUCCGCCGUGGCCGUUGUCGCUGCCGCCGCUGCUUGCAUCGCACAAUCUCUCUGUCAUCCCUUGCGUCCUACAAGAUCCCCCGCCGCCGCUCUCGUCGCGGAGCUUUCUCUGCCGACGCUCUCAUCGCAUCUGCUCCCUCUGGCACCUCUUCCAUCUAAUCUCAACUCGCUCUCUCAGUUCUUCUUGUAACCAUCUCAAAUUUCAGUGUUACAGCUCAAGAUCUUGUUGACACUAUGCUUCUAAAUUUGCUUCUAAAUUUCUGAUAUCUUCACUCUUAACGAUGGAUCUGUAACGCCUCUACUCAAGAGCAUGACAGUGCAUAAUAUGUAUGUUGGAGAGGGUUCAGACUUCCAAUAUAAUAUAUAAAAGGGUGGCUGAGCAGUGGGGUUCUCUUGGUGACUUGACUGUGUCUGUUACAUCGAUUCGAUUCGAUUGAUACAGAAGGAAUACUCAGGAUCUGCUAGAACUGGCGAUGGAUCUGUUAGACAAGAUCAAGUUGGUCUAGCGGGUCAAAAUACUCAGCUUGUUCAUCAGGGUUCACUGAAUUAUAUUAGUUCCU